GAGUUUGAUCUUGGCUCAGAUUGAACGCUGGCGGCAUGCCUUACACAUGCAAGUCGAACGGUAACAGGUCUUCGGAUGCUGACGAGUGGCGAACGGGUGAGUAAUACGAUCGGAACGUGCCCGAUCGUGGGGGGAUAACGAGGCGAAGGCUUUGCUAAUACCGCAUACGAUCUACGGAUGAAAGCGGGGGAUCUUCGGACCUCGCGCGGACGGAGCGGCCGAUGGCAGAUUAGGUAGUUGGUGGGAUUAAAAAGCUUACCAAGCCGAUGAUCUGUAGCUGGUCUGAGGGGAUGAUCAGCCACACUGGGACUGAGACACGGCCCAGACUCCUACGGGAGGCAGCAGUGGGGAAUUUGAACAAUGGGCGAAAGCCUGAUCCAGCCAUGCCGCGUGCAGGAUGAAGGCCU
This 407-nucleotide ribosomal RNA is filed under the name uncultured microorganism. RNAcentral describes it as "bacterial SSU rRNA". It matches the Rfam family "Bacterial small subunit ribosomal RNA", at positions 9 to 417 of the family's 1533-position model. The record is from RNAcentral.